RNAcentral lists this ribosomal RNA (253 nucleotides) under uncultured bacterium. Its description in RNAcentral is "partial 16S ribosomal RNA". It matches the Rfam family "Bacterial small subunit ribosomal RNA", at positions 524 to 776 of the family's 1533-position model. The record is from RNAcentral.
UACGGGGGGGGCAAGCGUUGUUCGGAAUUACUGGGCGUAAAGCGCACGUAGGCGGCUUUGUAAGUUAGGGGUGAAAGCCCGGUGCUCAACACCGGAAUUGCCUUUAAGACUGCAUCGCUUGAAUCCAGGAGAGGUGAGUGGAAUUCCGAGUGUAGAGGUGAAAUUCGUAGAUAUUCGGAAGAACACCAGUGGCGAAGGCGGCUCACUGGACUGGUAUUGACGCUGAGGUGCGAAAGCGUGGGGAGCAAACGGG